ACCCAACUGACGAGUCUCAAAUAGGACGAAAUGAUCAUCCUGAAU
This 45-nucleotide non-coding RNA is filed under the name Schistosoma margrebowiei. Lineage: Eukaryota; Metazoa; Platyhelminthes; Trematoda; Strigeidida; Schistosomatidae. The record is from RNAcentral.